GGUCAAGUGAAGAAGCGCAUACGGUGGAUGCCUUGGCAGUCAGAGGCGAUGAAAGACGUGGUAGCCUGCGAAAAGCUUCGGGGAGUCGGCAAACAGACUUUGAUCCGGAGAUCUCUGAAUGGGGGAACCCACCUAGGAUAACCUAGGUAUCUUGUACUGAAUCCAUAGGUGCAAGAGGCGAACCAGGGGAACUGAAACAUCUAAGUACCCUGAGGAAAAGAAAUCAACCGAGAUUCCCUUAGUAGUGGCGAGCGAACGGGGAUUAGCCCUUAAGCUUCAUUGAUUUUAGCGGAACGCUCUGGAAAGUGCGGCCAUAGUGGGUGAUAGCCCCGUACGCGAAAGGAUCUUUGAAGUGAAAUCGAGUAGGACGGAGCACGAGAAACUUUGUCUGAACAUGGGGGGGACCAUCCUCCAAGGCUAAAUACUACUGACUGACCGAUAGUGAACCAGUACCGUGAGGGAAAGGCGAAAAGAACCCCGGAGAGGGGAGUGAAAUAGAACCUGAAACCGUAUGCGUACAAGCAGUGGGAGCCUACUUGUUAGGUGACUGCGUACCUUUUGUAUAAUGGGUCAGCGACUUAUAUUCAGUGGCAAGCUUAACCGUAUAGGGUAGGCGUAGCGAAAGCGAGUCUUAAUAGGGCGUUUAGUCGCUGGGUAUAGACCCGAAACCGGGCGAUCUAUCCAUGAGCAGGUUGAAGGUUAGGUAACACUGACUGGAGGACCGAACCCACUCCCGUUGAAAAGGUAGGGGAUGACUUGUGGAUCGGAGUGAAAGGCUAAUCAAGCUCGGAGAUAGCUGGUUCUCCUCGAAAGCUAUUUAGGUAGCGCCUCAUGUAUCACUCUGGGGGGUAGAGCACUGUUUCGGCUAGGGGGUCAUCCCGACUUACCAAACCGAUGCAAACUCCGAAUACCCAGAAGUGCCGAGCAUGGGAGACACACGGCGGGUGCUAACGUCCGUCGUGAAAAGGGAAACAACCCAGACCGCCAGCUAAGGUCCCAAAGUUGUGGUUAAGUGGUAAACGAUGUGGGAAGGCUUAGACAGCUAGGAGGUUGGCUUAGAAGCAGCCAUCCUUUAAAGAAAGCGUAAUAGCUCACUAGUCGAGUCGGCCUGCGCGGAAGAUGUAACGGGGCUCAAACCACACACCGAAGCUGCGGGUGUCACGUAAGUGACGCGGUAGAGGAGCGUUCUGUAAGCCUGUGAAGGUGAGUUGAGAAGCUUGCUGGAGGUAUCAGAAGUGCGAAUGCUGACAUGAGUAACGACAAUGGGUGUGAAAAACACCCACGCCGAAAGACCAAGGGUUCCUGCGCAACGUUAAUCGACGCAGGGUUAGUCGGUUCCUAAGGCGAGGCUGAAAAGCGUAGUCGAUGGGAAACAGGUUAAUAUUCCUGUACUUCUGGUUACUGCGAUGGAGGGACGGAGAAGGCUAGGCCAGCUUGGCGUUGGUUGUCCAAGUUUAAGGUGGUAGGCUGAAAUCUUAGGUAAAUCCGGGGUUUCAAGGCCGAGAGCUGAUGACGAGUCGUCUUUUAGAUGACGAAGUGGUUGAUGCCAUGCUUCCAAGAAAAGCUUCUAAGCUUCAGGUAACCAGGAACCGUACCCCAAACCGACACAGGUGGUCGGGUAGAGAAUACCAAGGCGCUUGAGAGAACUCGGGUGAAGGAACUAGGCAAAAUGGCACCGUAACUUCGGGAGAAGGUGCGCCGGCUAGGGUGAAGGAUUUACUCCGUAAGCUCUGGCUGGUCGAAGAUACCAGGCCGCUGCGACUGUUUAUUAAAAACACAGCACUCUGCAAACACGAAAGUGGACGUAUAGGGUGUGACGCCUGCCCGGUGCCGGAAGGUUAAUUGAUGGGGUUAGCGCAAGCGAAGCUCUUGAUCGAAGCCCCGGUAAACGGCGGCCGUAACUAUAACGGUCCUAAGGUAGCGAAAUUCCUUGUCGGGUAAGUUCCGACCUGCACGAAUGGCGUAACGAUGGCGGCGCUGUCUCCACCCGAGACUCAGUGAAAUUGAAAUCGCUGUGAAGAUGCAGUGUAUCCGCGGCUAGACGGAAAGACCCCGUGAACCUUUACUGUAGCUUUGCACUGGACUUUGAGCCUGCUUGUGUAGGAUAGGUGGGAGGCUUUGAAGCGUGGACGCCAGUUCGCGUGGAGCCAUCCUUGAAAUACCACCCUGGCAUGCUUGAGGUUCUAACUCUGGUCCGUAAUCCGGAUCGAGGACAGUGUAUGGUGGGCAGUUUGACUGGGGCGGUCUCCUCCUAAAGAGUAACGGAGGAGUACGAAGGUGCGCUCAGACCGGUCGGAAAUCGGUCGCAGAGUAUAAAGGCAAAAGCGCGCUUGACUGCGAGACAGACACGUCGAGCAGGUACGAAAGUAGGUCUUAGUGAUCCGGUGGUUCUGUAUGGAAGGGCCAUCGCUCAACGGAUAAAAGGUACUCCGGGGAUAACAGGCUGAUACCGCCCAAGAGUUCAUAUCGACGGCGGUGUUUGGCACCUCGAUGUCGGCUCAUCACAUCCUGGGGCUGAAGCCGGUCCCAAGGGUAUGGCUGUUCGCCAUUUAAAGUGGUACGCGAGCUGGGUUUAGAACGUCGUGAGACAGUUCGGUCCCUAUCUGCCGUGGACGUUUGAGAUUUGAGAGGGGCUGCUCCUAGUACGAGAGGACCGGAGUGGACGAACCUCUGGUGUUCCGGUUGUCACGCCAGUGGCAUUGCCGGGUAGCUAUGUUCGGAAAAGAUAACCGCUGAAAGCAUCUAAGCGGGAAACUUGCCUCAAGAUGAGAUCUCACUGGGAACUUGAUUCCCCUGAAGGGCCGUCGAAGACUACGACGUUGAUAGGCUGGGUGUGUAAGCGUUGUGAGGCGUUGAGCUAACCAGUACUAAUUGCCCGUGAGGCUUGACCAU
This 2892-nucleotide ribosomal RNA is filed under the name Pseudomonas aeruginosa. RNAcentral describes it as "23S ribosomal RNA". It matches the Rfam family "Bacterial large subunit ribosomal RNA". Lineage: Bacteria; Pseudomonadati; Pseudomonadota; Gammaproteobacteria; Pseudomonadales; Pseudomonadaceae. The record is from RNAcentral.